AUGAAGAAGCACUACCUUGGUGGCCUCGCGGAGGGCGCCCCAGCACUCGAUGCGGUUGUACUUGCGGGAGGAGGAGUGGAAGUGCACCCACACCCUGGCGUCCAUGAGCUCGGGCCGGGCGGCGAAGAGGGCGGCGUCGCCGUGCACCACGGCCUUGAGCACCAGCGGCAGCUCCUUGGAGAAGACGUAGUAGCGGAACCCAGCGGCCAGCUCCUGCAGCGGGUUCGGCCCGCUGACGUGGCAGUGCAGGUGCAGCGUCAUCUCCUUCCACUCGGCGAAGACGUCGUCGCGCCGCCACCCCCACCGCCGCAGCUGCUCGCUCGUGAUGGUCUCCGACACCGCCAGCGUCAGGUUCGCGGUGAAGUCGCAGUGGCUCAGCGUGUAGGCCCUCGGGAACGCCUCACCGGCGCCGGCGUACUGCACCGUCAGCUUCGCCGCGUCGAAGGUCGUCGGCGCGCCCAGCACCUUGGCCGCCUGGACAGAGCAGAAAAAGGUGCCGCUCCGAUUGUCAGGUGUGAGCUAAGGGAGAAGAAGAAAGGAAGAAGAAGCAAGCUAGUUGAGCUUACGAGGGAGGAAGAGAGCAGGUCGGAUCUCCGGCCGCCGUCGCAGCAGACGACCAAGAAGCGCCUCCGGCUCCUGCCCCUGCCGCCGCCGCCGGUGGCCGUGGUGCUGGUGACGGCGGCGGAGAAGCAGAGCGCGGCGCUGCGCGACGCCAUUGGGAAUCUCGCAUCAACAACAAGCCCCUGCUCGCCGUGGCAUCCUGCAGCCGCCUCCUCCCGCUGCUGCUCCGACCGGCCGCCCGCCCAAACUCCUUCUCCUCCUCCUCCGGUGGCUGGUGGUGCCGCGUGCUUGGCACAAGAAGUGAGAGAGAGGGAUGUACGUGGCUGCUGCCUGAGCUGCACGAGAGAGAGAGAGAGGUGGAUUGGGUGGGCAGCAAUCCAUGGCUGCCGCUUGCCCCUAGUAUUUUUCCAUGGCUGUGGACGACGCAGCGGCGGGCUCCACGCCAAGGGAUCACACGUGGCGCGCUCCCAUUCGCUGCCUUGCACAUGCAUGGAUAACGCAACACCCAAUUCCCUCACUGACACCAAGGGACCCACCACCACACCCAGUUUUCUCAAACCAGCUACAUUAAGGGCAUCUAACAAUCAUCUAAAAAUGCUGCUAAAAAAAACAAUCAUCUAA
RNAcentral lists this ribosomal RNA (1182 nucleotides) under Triticum aestivum (bread wheat). Its description in RNAcentral is "partial small subunit ribosomal RNA". Lineage: Eukaryota; Viridiplantae; Streptophyta; Magnoliopsida; Poales; Poaceae. The record is from RNAcentral.